Molecule: small RNA, 665 nt
Filed under: Pan troglodytes (chimpanzee)
Lineage: Eukaryota; Metazoa; Chordata; Mammalia; Primates; Hominidae
Description: processed transcript
Source: RNAcentral
GGAUUCGCAGAGGCAUUUUUGGAACAUCUUUGGAAAAAAUUGCAGGAUCCAAGUAAUCCCGCCAUCAUCAGGCAGGCUGCUGGAAAUUAUAUUGGAAGCUUUUUGGCAAGAGCUAAAUUUAUUCCUCUUACUACUGUAAAAUCAUGCCCAGAUCUUUUGGUUAACUGGCUGCACAUAUACCUUAAUAACCAGGAUUCGGGAACAAAGGCAUUCUGCGAUGUUGCUCUCCAUGGACCAUUUUACUCAGCCUGCCAAGCUGUGUUCUACACCUUUGUUUUUAGACACAAGCAGCUUUUGAGCGGAAACCUGAAAGAAGGUUUGCAGUAUCUUCAGAGUCUGAAUUUUGAGCGGAUAGUGAUGAGCCAGCUAAAUCCCCUGAAGAUUUGCCUGCCCUCAGUGGUUAACUUUUUUGCUGCAAUCACAAAUAAGUACCAGCUCGUCUUCUGCUACACCAUCAUCGAGAGGAACAAUUGCCAGAUGCUGCCAGUCAUUAGGAGUACCACUGGAGGAGACUCAGUGCAGACCUGCACAAACCCACUGGACACCUUCUUCCCCUUUGAUCCCUGUGUGCUGAAGAGAUCUUCAACUUGCUGCUGAGCUUGGGAAGACAUUACUGGAUCGGAACACAGAGUUGGAGGACUCUCUUCAGCAGAUGUAUACAACCA